This 253-nucleotide ribosomal RNA is filed under the name uncultured bacterium. RNAcentral's name for it is "partial 16S ribosomal RNA". It matches the Rfam family "Bacterial small subunit ribosomal RNA", at positions 524 to 776 of the family's 1533-position model. The record is from RNAcentral.
UACGUAGGGUGCGAGCGUUGUCCGGAAUUAUUGGGCGUAAAGAGCUUGUAGGCGGUUUGUCGCGUCUGCUGUGAAAACCUAAGGCUCAACCUUGGGCUUGCAGUGGGUACGGGCAGACUAGAGUGCGGUAGGGGUGACUGGAAUUCCUGGUGUAGCGGUGGAAUGCGCAGAUAUCAGGAGGAAUACCGAUGGCGAAGGCAGGUCACUGGGCCGCAACUGACGCUGAGGAGCGAAAGCAUGGGGAGCGAACAGG